Long non-coding RNA from Saccostrea cuccullata (small rock oyster), 503 nucleotides. RefSeq lists it as uncharacterized. The transcript is spliced from 3 exons. The record is from RefSeq and is a predicted model, not a curated record. Lineage: Eukaryota; Metazoa; Mollusca; Bivalvia; Ostreida; Ostreidae.
AAAAAUAAAGGAAAACAACCAUGAAUACACAUCACACGAAUACGACCACUGUUGUCAUGGCCAAUCCAACACCCCCUGUGGUCAUUCAACAAGUGAAAAAAGAAAGAUUUGCUGAUAAGAUUGCGUUGAAUCUCCUCAUAACUCUUUUCUUCCCCUUCUGGAUAUUUAUUUGGUGCUGUAUGUGUAUUUGUGAGAAACACGAAUGACGUCUUUCGCUGACGAGAUUACCACCUGCGAUGACAAUUUAAAGAAAUGUAUGCUGGUCCUGUGCACAAACCAGUUUCAUUCACUACUGGAUAUUUUUUUAUGUUUUCGUUUCUAUACAUGUAUCUAUAUGGCUUUGUCUGUGGUUGAGAUAUUUUUUGACUGUUAACUUAAUUAUUGGGAUCUAGAGUUUUUGAGACAUUGUUUUCCCAAAAUUAUGUCCAUAUUCACAAAUUUUUUGACAAUGUUUUAUAUUUCUGAAUUUAAGUGCUAAUAAAAAAGCAAGAAAAAUAUGUUGU